GCUGCUGACUCUGCUGCCCCCUCCGGUUCUGAGAUGCCGGCAGUUCACUGUGGCUGGAAAACACUUGACCGUGCUCAAGGUGCUGAACAGCUCCUCUCAGGAGGAAAUCUCCAUCUGGGAUAUCCGAAUCCUCCCCAACUUCAAUGCCAGUUAUCUACCUGUCAUGCCGGAUGGCUCUGUGCUGCUGGUGGACAAUGUCUGGUGAGGUCCUGGGAGGGGCAAGGCUGUGAAGUGGUGGGGAUGGCUUCAGGGGCUGAGCUCUGGCAUGGGGAGACCAUGCCUUGUCCUCUUUUCUGAGCUAGUCACCAGUCUGGGGAAGUCUCCAUGGGCUCCUUCUGCCGCCUACCCGGGACCUC
This 356-nucleotide small RNA is filed under the name Pongo abelii (Sumatran orangutan). Its description in RNAcentral is "retained intron". Lineage: Eukaryota; Metazoa; Chordata; Mammalia; Primates; Hominidae. The record is from RNAcentral.